This is a non-coding RNA of Pelobates cultripes (western spadefoot toad), 297 nucleotides long. The record is from the annotation of a GenBank genome assembly. Lineage: Eukaryota; Metazoa; Chordata; Amphibia; Anura; Pelobatidae.
UUAUUAAAUGAAUAGGCCUGAAAUUUGUCCACAGCAGUUCAGACACUUGGAACCAAAUGGUGAUCUUGAAAAUUGUGUUUACCAAAGUGUAUAUAUGUAGCCCUGCCUGUUCUUUUUCUCUUUCAGAAACUGAUUAGGCUUUUCUGUUUAACCCCUUAAGGACACAUGACAUGUCAUGAUUCCCUUUUAUUCCAGAAGUUUGGUCCUUGUGGGGUUAAUGGACUUAAAGUGGAUUCUGUACUGUUUACAAGACAGUAAAUUUCUCCCCUGAUCGACAGAAUUAACUAUUUUGAUAAG